Molecule: ribosomal RNA, 520 nt
Filed under: uncultured Glomus
Lineage: Eukaryota; Fungi; Glomeromycota; Glomeromycetes; Glomerales; Glomeraceae
Description: SSU rRNA
Rfam family: Eukaryotic small subunit ribosomal RNA
Source: RNAcentral
CGCAGCCGCGGUAAUUCCAGCUCCAAUAGCGUAUAUUAAAGUUGCUGCAGUUAAAAAGCUCGUAGUUGAAUUUCGGGACCAUCAUGUCGGUCGUGCCUCGGUACGUACUGGCAUUGUUGGUUUCUCCCUUCUGACGAACCAUGAUGUCAUUUAUUUGGUGUUGUGGGAAAUCAGGACUGUUACUUUGAAAAAAUUAGAGUGUUUAAAGCAGGCUCACGCUUGAAUACAUUAGCAUGGAAUAAUGAAAUAGGACGUUUGAUUCUAUUUUGUUGGUUUCUAGGAUCGACGUAAUGAUUAAUAGGGAUAGUUGGGGGCAUUAGUAUUCAAUUGUCAGAGGUGAAAUUCUUGGAUUUAUUGAAGACUAACUACUGCGAAAGCAUUUGCCAAGGAUGUUUUCAUUAAUCAAGAACGAAAGUUAGGGGAUCGAAGACGAUCAGAUACCGUCGUAGUCUUAACCAUAAACUAUGCCGACUAGGGAUCGGAUGAUGUUAAUUUUUAAUGACUCAUUCGGCGCCUUAAC